RNAcentral lists this ribosomal RNA (206 nucleotides) under uncultured Pseudomonas sp. Its description in RNAcentral is "partial 16S ribosomal RNA". It matches the Rfam family "Bacterial small subunit ribosomal RNA", at positions 1179 to 1382 of the family's 1533-position model. Lineage: Bacteria; Pseudomonadati; Pseudomonadota; Gammaproteobacteria; Pseudomonadales; Pseudomonadaceae. The record is from RNAcentral.
AUGACGUCAAGUCAUCAUGGCCCUUACGGCCUGGGCUACACACGUGCUACAAUGGUCGGGUACAAAGGGUUGCCAAGCCGCGAGUGGAGCUAAUCCCAUAAAACCGAUCGUAGUCCGGAUCGCAGUCUGCAACUCGACUGCGUGAAGUCGGAAUCGCUAGUAAUCGUGAAUCAGAAUGUCACGGUCGAAUACGGUUCCCGGGCCUU